UGCGAUCUGCUCUCUCACAGGGCCGCUGCUCCAGUUGACUCAUGCUUCUCCCCCCUCACGCUUCUGACCUCAACACACCUCCCCUUUAUGAAGUCAAUGCCUCUAACAGGAAAGCCCUUGACCACCCACCACCAAGCCUGUGGACACAUCCGCCUCCGCACCCACCCCUUCCAGCCGGACUCUAAACUCCACCUCGUCUCAAAGAGCCCAUUCUUUGUUUGGUCCCCUCUCUGCUCCAUCUGUCAUUUUUUUCUGAGCCAUCUCCUUACCGUCAGCACCCGAGGAGAAGAACACAGUCCGCCUACUACCACUGGUCCGCUACAGUGUUCUCACCAGGGACCUCAUUGCUGUUAAGGCCAGUGGAGUCCUCACCUUGCUGGACAGCACCUGACCCUGCCCAGCAGUCCUCGACUUCUGGAAACAUCAUCUCGAUUUCGAUGAUGACCAAGUACUCUGAUUUUCUCCGACUUCUCUGGGUACAUCCUGUCAGUCUUUUUCAAGUCACCCAUUCCCUACGUGUUGGAGUCUUCGGGGGGCACUAAGCUAUCUUCUCCCGUCACCAUACACACUCUCGCUAGAACGUAGGUGGUAAUAAUAGACCUUCCUGGUGAGGAUGCUACGAAGAUUCAAGGAGAUGGUGCAUGUGAGCACUUAGAAGAAUAUUUGGCACAAGGAAGAUACCUCUCACCUUGGGAAGCCUGGUGUAAUCUUCUCAGACAACUUCUACACACUCCAUCAUCUCUAUGAACACGCAAUUCUGAGCUAUGUGCACGGCUGCCUGGAAUAGGGACCUCAUGUCCCCACCUGCUAGUGAUGAUGUCAUGUGGCAAAGCGUUGCCAGUAAGAUAUAAGAGGAAGUUGGGUACAACUUUAUCUGGAACCGUGAGAUCAGCCUGAGUGCAGAGGCCGAGCACAGCAGAGCAAUGAAUUGGGAAGGGCCUGGUCUGGACACCACGGAGCGCCUUCUGGCAGGACUCGAACAUUCUGCCCCGAUUUCUAGAUGAGCGGGAAAUAAAUCCUUAAUUUGGAUUUUUUUUUUUUUUUUUUUUUGUCUCUCACAACGAAAUCUAAUGAUAAUAUAUCAGGGUAUGCCCAUUUUUAACAUAAAAUGUAGCUACAGCUAGGAUUUUUUCAAUGUAUCUUCCUCGAACAAA
Long non-coding RNA from Neofelis nebulosa (Clouded leopard), 1154 nucleotides. RefSeq lists it as uncharacterized. The record is from RefSeq and is a predicted model, not a curated record. NCBI's taxonomy places the organism in Eukaryota, Metazoa, Chordata, Mammalia, Carnivora, Felidae. The transcript has 5 exons.